GUGAACGCUGGCGGUAGGCCUAACACAUGCAAGUCGCACGGCAGCACAGUAAGAGCUUGCUCUUACGGGUGGCGAGUGGCGGACGGGUGAGGAAUACAUCGGAAUCUACUUUUUCGUGGGGGAUAACGUAGGGAAACUUACGCUAAUACCGCGUACGACCUACGGGUGAAAGCAGGGGAUCUUCGGACCUUGCGCGAUUGAAUGAGCCGAUGUCGGAUUAGCUAGUUGGCGGGGUAAAGGCCCACCAAGGCGACGAUCCGUAGCUGGUCUGAGAGGAUGAUCAGCCACACUGGAACUGAGACACGGUCCAGACUCCUACGGGAGGCAGCAGUGGGGAAUAUUGGACAAUGGGCGCAAGCCUGAUCCAGCCAUACCGCGUGGGUGAAGAAGGCCUUCGGGUUGUAAAGCCCUUUUGUUGGGAAAGAAAAGCAGCAGGUUAAUACCCCGCUGUUCUGACGGUACCCAAAGAAUAAGCACCGGCUAACUUCGUG
This 491-nucleotide ribosomal RNA is filed under the name uncultured bacterium. Its description in RNAcentral is "partial 16S ribosomal RNA". It matches the Rfam family "Bacterial small subunit ribosomal RNA", at positions 29 to 507 of the family's 1533-position model. The record is from RNAcentral.